This 347-nucleotide ribosomal RNA is filed under the name uncultured bacterium. RNAcentral describes it as "partial 16S ribosomal RNA". It matches the Rfam family "Bacterial small subunit ribosomal RNA", at positions 338 to 682 of the family's 1533-position model. The record is from RNAcentral.
CCUACGGGGUGCUGCAGUGAGGAAUAUUGGUCAAUGGGCGCGAGCCUGAACCAGCCAAGUAGCGUGAAGGAUGACUGCCCUACGGGUUGUAAACUUCUUUUAUAAAGGAAUAAAGUGAGGCACGUGUGCCUUGUUGUAUGUACUUUAUGAAUAAGGAUCGGCUAACUCCGUGCCAGCAGCCGCGGUAAUACGGAGGAUCCGAGCGUUAUCCGGAUUUAUUGGGUUUAAAGGGAGCGUAGAGGGGUUGUUAAGUCAGUGGUGAAAGUUUGCGGCUCAACCGUAAAAUUGCAAUUGAUACUGGCAGUCUUGAGUACAGUUGCGGUAGGCGGCAUUCGUGGUGUAUCGGU